This is a long non-coding RNA of Neopsephotus bourkii (Bourke's parrot), 666 nucleotides long. RefSeq lists it as uncharacterized. Lineage: Eukaryota; Metazoa; Chordata; Aves; Psittaciformes; Psittacidae. The record is from RefSeq and is a predicted model, not a curated record. The transcript is spliced from 2 exons.
UGUCUUCUAAGGAGAAAAAUCCUGAUCUUAUUCUUACAUUGCCCUGAAGCCCAUAGGAAAUUCAGGAAAGGCUGCCAGUAAUAUGAAAUGUGAAAGAUAUUAUCUCUUUCCAUCUGUCUCUGGGUUUCUCCCCAGUCUUAGAUAUAUGGAAUAGACAACAUGUCAGAGGGAAUCUGCAACACUCUGUGGAACUGCCCCAGCUGAGAACUUGCAUACUAGUGAUAAACAAGAUUCAGCUGGGAAGAAAACACCCUCUGUAACACCAUCAAGUGAGAAGGCUGUGGGCUCUGGACUUUACUAGCCUAUAAACCUCCUGCUUUUAAUUCUCCUGAGGAAAAAGCUUUAUACAUUUUUGAAGCCACAGGCACCCAACCAGAGAUUCUGGUGACUUGACAGAGUUGAAUUCUGAAGGUCCACUCAGUUGUGUUAGCUCUAGCAUGGCCUUGCUUGCUUGGAAACAAUGACACUGUGAAGACCAUCAGGAAGGUGUGACUUGUACUGUGAUAAAGCUACAUUAAUUAAAGUUAUGUUUCAUGACUAGAGACUAAUCCUGGAAAUGACUAGUAAUAACAUUGCAUUUAAUUUUGUGGUGUGAAAUUCAUUGUAUGUAUUUGAAAAACUGGUAUGCUAAUUACAUAUAUUAAAGUAGAUUACUGAGAAAGCAGA